Molecule: small RNA, 27 nt
Filed under: Bombyx mori (domestic silkworm)
Lineage: Eukaryota; Metazoa; Arthropoda; Insecta; Lepidoptera; Bombycidae
Description: ovarian small RNA-8361
Source: RNAcentral
UGAUGCAUAGGAGACUGGGCGGUCUUG